AGUGGAACUUUUGCAAGUGGGCUAUCAUCAGAAGUGAAACGUUAGCUGCUGACUCCGCUGCUUUUGGCCACAGACGGCUGCCUUUAUGAAUCAUGUUUGUCCCUCUGCCUUUUUUGUGGUUUAUAUGGACUUGAUUGAAGAUGAAGCACUUGUCCUCUUACCUCGGACUUCCAGCAGCAGUACAAGUGGUUGCACACUGAACUUCAAAGAAGAGGGAGAUAAGAUAGAUCCCUGACCUGGCUAAGUCCACGAAAAAAUACCCUCCAUCAAGAAAAUGUUGACAUCUACCUGGACAAAUCUAGAAAUCACUGUUCUUUGUGAUCUUCAAUGAUAUUCUUCAUUCAAAAACCUCAAAGCACAAAUCAUUUCACUG
This is a long non-coding RNA of Corvus hawaiiensis (hawaiian crow), 373 nucleotides long. RefSeq lists it as uncharacterized. Lineage: Eukaryota; Metazoa; Chordata; Aves; Passeriformes; Corvidae. The transcript has 3 exons. The record is from RefSeq and is a predicted model, not a curated record.